CAGUAGCCGCGGUAAUACGGAGGGUGCAAGCGUUAAUCGGAAUUACUGGGCGUAAAGCGCACGCAGGCGGUUUGUUAAGUCAGAUGUGAAAUCCCCGAGCUUAACUUGGGAACUGCAUUUGAAACUGGCAAGCUAGAGUCUUGUAGAGGGGGGUAGAAUUCCAGGUGUAGCGGUGAAAUGCGUAGAGAUCUGGAGGAAUACCGGUGGCGAAGGCGGCCCCCUGGACAAAGACUGACGCUCAGGUGCGAAAGCGUGGGGAGCAAACGGGAUUAGAUACCCGAGUAGUCCCUGUCUCUUAUAC
This 301-nucleotide ribosomal RNA is filed under the name uncultured bacterium. Its description in RNAcentral is "partial 16S ribosomal RNA". It matches the Rfam family "Bacterial small subunit ribosomal RNA", at positions 509 to 807 of the family's 1533-position model. The record is from RNAcentral.